CUGGGCGGAAGGAGGCUAUCUGGUAGGCUAUCUAGAAGCUCAUCUUUGUGUUAUUGGAGAAACACUCUCCCUCUUGACAGGAUAUAGUCUGGUUAUCACAUAAUCUUCUCAGGUUUCAUUCUCAUUCUGUGCUUACAAAUACCCCAAAUAUAAAGAGAUGCAUUUCAUUAAGACAGCAUUUUAAGAGGCAGUUAAUCCCAGCUGUUGCCGUCUAUCUUAAACACCUACCUUUUCACCCUAGUGUGGAGUUUACAUGUCGAUAAGGGAUGUGAAAAAGGGAACCGCAGAAAUCUCGGCAAAGGCAAAACACCAAGGCUGCCUGUGGGAAUUGGAGUCAGAGAAAGAGCCCGGGAAGCUUUAAGUUCCAGAACGGCCCCUGGUACAAUACUUGCCUGCCUUGGGGCUUUGGGCUGACCCCAGACACCGAGGACUGUAAACACUUUUCCAGUCACAUAAACGGAAGGAUUCUGUGCCUGCUACUUCGGCAUUUUCUCCUUAAGAGACCUGUGGCAAAACAAGUGAAAAACACAGGUAGGAACCUGAGAGCCAGACCCCGAAGUUUUCAGCUGACUCACCGAUUCUCUUUGCUGGCACUGCCCGUUCCCAUCAAGGAUGAAUUCUCAACACCCGAUCUCACUACACGAGUGUGAAAACCUGCUUCAAAGUCAUCACCAGCGUCACCAUGAGCCAAAACAGACCUCCUGAGGCCAACCCUUUUUGUCCCUUUCCUGUGCACCAUGAGUCCCAUUGCCUUCAUCACCCAAGUGACAGCCUGGCCUUGUGAUUUAUGAGCAUGGUGUCUCUGUGGCUGGGCUCUGAGUGUCUGCACCCUGGGUUUCUGGGAACCUCGUGCAACGGUGAGCCCACUGCAGGGGCUUGAAAAGUAUCUGUUGACCAUCUGACAGGGUGAAUGAAUGACGUGGAGUCACGUUGCAACAGAUCCUGCUAUGGAAUCACCUGGAGAUCUCCAACUAAGAGCACAGAAGACGGGCGAGCAACUCAGCCCCUUGAAGGCACAGCAUUCAGCAAAGGCAUCCCUUGGGGAAGGAAAGCAGGGGCUGCAACACCUGGCGUAUGAUCACGAUGAGGCCUUGGAGAAAUCCCAAAGAGAUCUGCUCUCAGUUACACGGUUAUUUGGUUGGGUUUUACUUCUUGUUCAUCUAGCCAUCCGCCAACGCUUCAUGAGUAGCUUUUAACAUUUAACAAAUGAGAAAACUGGAAUAGGGAAGAGUUUAGAAUUUGAGAUUAUUACUUACACUUUUGGAGAGUUCAAAAAUUUCCUUUUGUGCAAUCUUAUUUAAUCAUAAUAAUAAUCCUAUAAGAUGGUGCUCUUAAAGACUACUAUUAGUUUGGUUGAGUUAGAAAAAGGCUGAGAGAGGCUAGAAUUUCAAUAUUGUCCUGCCUCUGUUCCUAGAUAUAUAUAUGCUGAAGCCAAGUGACGGCGAAUUCAAAGCCUCUGUUAGCACAAGGCUUUUGCCUCUGAAUACCCGUGCGUCCCCCCGGGAGCCAGGCUGGACUGCUGGGAGGGCUCCUUGUGACCAGGCAGAAACAGCAAUGCCAUAAGUAGGCCAAGGCUCUUUCUCAGUGCUUGCCAGCAAGCUGCACUUAAUUCUCAGCCCUCUGUUCUCCUGCUCUGAGUCCAAGGAGAGAAUGGUCCAAGAAAAUGGGAGAUAAGCAAAGGAGAGGAAAAGGAGACUCCUUUUAAGCCUAGAGCCGACUUGGCUCUUUUCAUCUCCUCAGAGCAGAACAGCUCCAAGAAUCCAAGAAGCUUGAGUAGCCUGGGGCAGCCCUGAGUCUCUGGCCCUGAAGGGUUUGCAAUUGAAAAAGAUCAGUAUUCUUUGGAGAGUGAGACUGUCUUUACAGCUCAGCACUCGGCCCAGGGAUAGGUCCUUGAUUCAUCCCUAUCUGCCCUCAUCUUCCUUGGGGAAUAGAUGGGAAGGGAUAAAGGAAGAGAAGAUGGUAGACGAGAGCCUCCUAAUGGGAUAAGAAUCAUGCCUGUACUAUAGCUGAGAUACUAAGACUCAGAGGUCAAGUGGCCUCUCCUCCAUCACGCAGCUGGGCAGAGCUAGACCCAGUACAAGAAUUCAUCCACUCAAGGCUUCUGUUUGAUGCUCAGGGCCGCACAUGGUCCCAUGCCGCUCUUCCCGCUGAGACCGCCCACACCCAGCAUGCUGUGCACACUGGGCCGCUGCCACUCAGGAACUGUGAAAUGCAGUGGAGGGAACUGUGAUUGUAGUUCCUUUACACAGAGGAGUUAAAAAGCACUGA
Molecule: long non-coding RNA, 2268 nt
Filed under: Lynx canadensis (Canada lynx)
Lineage: Eukaryota; Metazoa; Chordata; Mammalia; Carnivora; Felidae
Description: lncRNA (ENSLCNG00005017253.1)
Source: RNAcentral